This 253-nucleotide ribosomal RNA is filed under the name uncultured bacterium. RNAcentral describes it as "partial 16S ribosomal RNA". It matches the Rfam family "Bacterial small subunit ribosomal RNA", at positions 524 to 776 of the family's 1533-position model. The record is from RNAcentral.
GACGAACCGUGCGAACGUUGUUCGGAAUCACUGGGCUUAAAGGGCGCGUAGGCGGGCUGACAAGUCUGGGGUGAAAUGCCGCGGCUCAACCGUGGAACUGCCUUAGAUACUGUCGGCCUCGAGGAAGGUAGGGGCAUGCGGAACUGUAGUUGGAGCGGUGAAAUGCGUUGAUAUCUACAGGAACUCCGGUGGCGAAAGCGGCGUGCUGGACCUUUUCUGACGCUGAGGCGCGAAAGCUAGGGGAGCAAACGGG